RNAcentral lists this ribosomal RNA (246 nucleotides) under uncultured bacterium. Its description in RNAcentral is "partial 16S ribosomal RNA". It matches the Rfam family "Bacterial small subunit ribosomal RNA", at positions 90 to 339 of the family's 1533-position model. The record is from RNAcentral.
GGCGAGCGGCGGACGGGUGAGUAACGCGUAGGAAUCUACCUAGUAGAGGGGGACAACAUGUGGAAACGCAUGCUAAUACCGCAUACGCCUUUAGGGGGAAAGCAGGGGAUCUUAGGACCUUGCGUUAUUAGAGCGGCCGAUAUCUGAUUAGGUAGUUGGUAGGGUAAAGGCCUACCAAGCCGACGAUCAGUAGCUGGUCUGAGAGGACGAUCAGCCACACUGGAACUGAGACACGGUCCAGACUCC